Molecule: ribosomal RNA, 433 nt
Filed under: uncultured bacterium
Lineage: Bacteria
Description: partial 16S ribosomal RNA
Rfam family: Bacterial small subunit ribosomal RNA
Source: RNAcentral
AACGAACGCUGGCGGCAUGCCUAACACAUGCAAGUCGAACGAAACCUUCGGGUCUAGUGGCUACCGGGUGGGUAACCCGGUGGAAACUGCCCGUAUGAUCGGAAUAACUCCUCGGGAGAGGUUCUAAUACCGGGGAAUGUCUUCGGACAAAAGAUUUUGCGGCUUGGUGUGGGCCGGCGUUGGUUUAGCUAGUUGGUAGGGUAAAAGGCUACUAAGGCGAGGAUCCAUAGCUGGUCUGAGAGGAUGCUCAGCCGCACUGGGACUGAGACCAGGCACCGACUCCUACGGGAAGCAGCAGUGGGGACUAUUGGAGUAUGGGCGAGAGGCUGAACCACCAAUGGCGGGUGAGUGAUGAAGGGCUUAGGGUCGUAAAGCUCUCUUGACCGGGAUGAUAAUGACAGUAGCGGGUGAAUAAGCACCGGCUAACUACGUG